AAUACUACUCGAGACCGAUAGUUGACAAGUAGCGUGAGCGAAAGCUGAAAAGUAUCCUUAGCGGGAUGUGAAAAGAACCUGAAACCAGUCGGGAACAAGCUGAAUAGGCGUGAAAGCGAAGAUAUGAGCAGCGUCUAUUCGUGCGUUUCGAAUAAUGCCCCUGGGAGUUCUGAUUAAUGGCGAGGUUAAGGAGUUGAACUCUGAAGCCGAAGGGAAACCGAAAGGUCCGCAGCCGCUUAGGCGGUGAGGGACUGGGUGUGCUCGCCCGGAGUCAUUAGUGGGAGACCUGAAGCCUAUCGAUCUAUGCCUGGCCAGAUUGAAGCCCGAUGAAAGUUGGGUGGAGGAUCCAACCGUUGCUGAUGUGCAAAUCGCUCGGAUGAGCUGGGUAUAGGGGUGAAAGUCCAAUCGAGAUGGGCAAUAGCAGGUUCCGCGCGAGACUACUCGCAGGCAGAUCUUCGCAGAGAUAGAUUACGAUGUAGAGCACUGAUUGGGUAUUUAGGGGGAGCGAUCCCUCGGUACGCUGUCAAACUCCGAAGUUGUAAUCGUCGUAGAAGCGAGGAGUGAGCCACGGUGGGUAAGCUACCGUGACGAAAGGUGAAGAAACCAGCUCAGUGUUAAGGUCCCAAAAUUACAGUUAAGUGUUAAUUACAAACGGAGUCCGUGGUCGAAGACAACUAGAAGGUGGGCUUAGAGGCAGCCAUCCUUGAAAGAGUUCGUAACAGAUCACUAGUCAAGCUUGCGGGCCCGAAAAAUGGACGGGACUAAAACUGUAUACCGAUACACUGAUCCUUCGAAAGAAGAUGAGGUAGCGCGGCGACAUGCUCGGGUAGAAGCUCGGUUUUGAGAUCGGGUGGACCGUGUAUGUAUGAGAAUCUAGGGAAGAGUAGCAGCAUAGUGCGGUGAGAAUCCGCACCACCGAAGGGGUAAGGGUUCCUCGGCAAUGGUUAUCAGCCGAGGGUUAGCCGAUCCUAAGGUCAUUCCUAACCGAAAUGAUCGAAAGGGAAUUGCGUUAAUAUUCGUAAGCCCCUCUUACAUUAAUGGUGACGGCUUGGGCUAGUUUAUGCGCAUCAGUCAUGGUGCGUCGAAGCGUUCAAUAAUCGAAUGGAGAACCGUAAUGGUGAGAAGUUCGAGAAGACGUGAGCAAAAGAUAGAUGAGGCCUAGGUCCCAUGAAAAGCCGUAAGAGGUGAUCGUACCAAGAUCUGACACAGGUACCCAAGGUGAGAAGCCUAAGGUGUGACGGGCAAAGUAUCGUGAAGGAACUCGGCAAAAUCGCUCUGUAACUUCGGGAGAAGGAGUGCCAGGUUCGAGAGAACCUGGUCGCAGUAACAAGGGGACUCCGACUGUUUAAUAAAAACAUAGCCGACUGCUAGUUCGAAAGGAUGUGUAUAGUCGGUGAAUCCUGCUCAGUGCCGGUAUCUGAAAUCGGGUUUCAACCUGAUGAAGGACCGGUAAACAGCGGGGGUAACUAUGACCCUCUUAAGGUAGCGUAAUACCUUGUCGCUUAAUUGGCGACUUGCAUGAAUGGCACAACGAGAGUCCCACUGUCUCCACGAUACGUCCGGCGAAAUUGACUAUUACUGGCGCACAGUCCAGUAACCUCAACCUGCAAGCGAAGACCCCAUAGAGCUUUACUACAGCCUGGCGUUGAAUAAUCGCACACUAUGUGCUGAGUAGACGGGAGAUGUUGAUCAUCUGGACGCCAGUUCAGAUGGGAGUCGUCCAUAGAGACACCGUCCUUAGUUUGUAAUUAUUCUAACUCUUUUAGAGAACACCGUUUGGUGGGUAGUUUGGGUGGGGCGCCACGCGCCCGAAAAUAUAACAGGCGUGCCCAAAGGUCAGCUUAGGUGGUUCAGUCUCCACCGUUAACCGUAAGGGGAAAAGCUGGCUUGACGUGGAUCGGACCAAUAACGAUCGACGAUGCGAAAGCAGGGCCUAACGAACCAAUCUACCUCAUUUAUGGGGGUGAUUGAUAACAGAAAAGUUACCUUGGGGAUAAUUGAGUUGUCACCAGCAAGAGCACAUAUCGACCUGGUGGCUUGCUACUUCGAUGUCGUCUCUUCCCAACCUCCUGGUGCAGCAGCUGGGAAGGGUGGGGUUGUUCGCCCAUUAAAGGGGAUCGUGAGAUGGGUUUAGACCGUCGUGAGACAGGUUUGUUGCUU
Molecule: ribosomal RNA, 2160 nt
Filed under: Methanobacteriota archaeon
Lineage: Archaea; Methanobacteriati; Methanobacteriota
Description: Euryarchaeota archaeon (marine metagenome) partial 23S ribosomal RNA
Rfam family: Archaeal large subunit ribosomal RNA
Source: RNAcentral